UGUGGAGCGGAGAUCGAGCAGUUGUCUCUGGAGAAAGAGCACCUGCAGGAGAGCGCUGAGAAACUGAGAGGUCGUUGUGAAGAGAUGGAAGAGCAGUGUGUGCAACAUGGGAGGAUGCACCAGCGCAUGAAGCAGAGACUGCAGCAGCUGGACCAGCACUGUCAGGCCAGUUCCCAGCAGGUGCUGCAGCUCCUCAGCAGACAGAAGCAGCACGUGCACGACACACACAACCUGUAAGCCCAGGUGCAUGUUGAGAAGAGAACGGGCACGCUGGCCGUGUGAGGGCCAUCUCCAUGAGGUCAUGUGAUCAGUCAUAGUGAGAACCAAUCAUAAUGUGACACAUUCCAUAUAACUACACAAUGAAAAGCAAUGAGAGGAAUUGUAAGUCAUAGAUCGCUAAUUUUAAAUAAAAAGCAAAU
Sinocyclocheilus anshuiensis is the source of this 419-nucleotide long non-coding RNA. RefSeq lists it as uncharacterized. The record is from RefSeq and is a predicted model, not a curated record. Lineage: Eukaryota; Metazoa; Chordata; Actinopteri; Cypriniformes; Cyprinidae. The transcript is spliced from 3 exons.